CCUACGGGUGGCUGCAGUGGGGAAUAUUGCACAAUGGGCGCAAGCCUGAUGCAGCCAUGCCGCGUGUGUGAAGAAGGCCUUCGGGUUGUAAAGCACUUUCAGCGGGGAGGAAGGCGUUAAGGUUAAUAACCUUGGCGAUUGACGUUACCCGCAGAAGAAGCACCGGCUAACUCCGUGCCAGCAGCCGCGGUAAUACGGAGAGUGCAAGCGUUAAUCGGAAUUACUGGGCGUAAAGCGCACGCAGGCGGUCUGUCAAGUCGGAUGUGAAAUCCCCGGGCUCAACCUGGGAACUGCAUUCGAAACUGGCAGGCUAGAGUCUUGUAGAGGGGGGUAGAACUCCAGGUGUAGCGGUGAAAUGCGUAGAGAUCUGGAGGAAUACCGGUGGCGAAGGCGGCCCCCUGGACAAAGACUGACGCUCAGGUGCGAAAGCGUGGGGAGCAAACAGGAUUAGAUACCCCUGUAGUC
Molecule: ribosomal RNA, 465 nt
Filed under: uncultured Klebsiella sp.
Lineage: Bacteria; Pseudomonadati; Pseudomonadota; Gammaproteobacteria; Enterobacterales; Enterobacteriaceae
Description: bacterial SSU rRNA
Rfam family: Bacterial small subunit ribosomal RNA
Source: RNAcentral